AUUGAACGCUGGCGGCAUGCUCUACACAUGCAAGUCGAACGGUAACAGGCCGCAAGGUGCUGACGAGUGGCGCACGGGUGAGUAAUGCAUCGGAACGUGCCCAGUCGUGGGGGAUAACUACUCGAAAGAGUAGCUAAUACCGCAUACGAUCUAUGGAUGAAAGCGGGGGACCGUAAGGCCUCGCGCGAUUGGAGCGGCCGAUGUCGGAUUAGGUAGUUGGUGGGGUAAAGGCUCACCAAGCCAACGAUCUGUAGCUGGUCUGAGAGGACGACCAGCCACACUGGGACUGAGACACGGCCCAGACUCCUACGGGAGGCAGCAGUGGGGAAUUUUGGACAAUGGGCGCAAGCCUGAUCCAGCAAUGCCGCGUGCAGGAAGAAGGCCUUCGGGUUGUAAACUGCUUUUGUACGGAACGAAACGGCUCUGGUUAAUACCCGGGGCUAAUGACGGUACCGUAAGAAUAAGCACCGGCUAACUACGUG
Molecule: ribosomal RNA, 482 nt
Filed under: uncultured bacterium
Lineage: Bacteria
Description: partial 16S ribosomal RNA
Rfam family: Bacterial small subunit ribosomal RNA
Source: RNAcentral